Molecule: small nuclear RNA, 107 nt
Organism: Perognathus longimembris pacificus (Pacific pocket mouse)
Lineage: Eukaryota; Metazoa; Chordata; Mammalia; Rodentia; Heteromyidae
Source: RefSeq, a predicted model, not a curated record
GUCCUCGCUUCGGCAGCACAUAUACUAAAAUUGGCACAACACAGAGAAAAUCAGUAUGGCCCCUGUGUAAGGAUGACAUGCAAAUUUGUGAAGUGUUCCAUAUUUUU